GGGGAUGCAUGACUAUAAUUAUCAAAUUUGUUAAUGUUUUGAUUAUUUUUCUUUCUCUUUUUCAUGUUGCAAAGAAUGACGACAAUAAAUUACUUUUAUCUUUUAUUGAAGAAGGAUUCUGAUUGUCCAUACAAUAUGUGUCCGUCUCCUUUAAAAGAAAUGUGUUAUUUCAUCAAGUGUGUAUGUGGUGUGUACGGGCCUAUAAGAGAAAGAAGGUUGUACCAAAGCCAUAAUCCAAUGAUCCAAUGAAUUGGAAGUAAGCUUGAAACUUGGAAGGGAAUGCGUCCUUCACCGUGAAGGAUAUCCAAAUUGUGAUGUCAGCUGAACAUGUAACAGAGUGCCCCUUCAAGCAUUGUGCUUUGAAUUUUGAUUCCUUUUAUGUGGCAAAUCAUGGUUCUUGAUUUUAGUCUAAUGCACAAUUCAUUGUUAGUCCUUUGGCCACGAUAUUGUUCACGGUUUGUAUGUUAAUUUCACACUAAUUGAAGCCAAUGUAUGUAGAACCGCCAGAGAUGGCAUGAUAAUUGUUGUAACGUCCACUUUCGUUUAAUCGUUUAUUUAAUUGAGUUUAGGUGAUUAUAUUAUAAUUA
This is a long non-coding RNA of Medicago truncatula (barrel medic), 587 nucleotides long. RefSeq lists it as uncharacterized. The transcript is spliced from 2 exons. Lineage: Eukaryota; Viridiplantae; Streptophyta; Magnoliopsida; Fabales; Fabaceae. The record is from RefSeq and is a predicted model, not a curated record.